UACCCGCUGAACUUAAGCAUAUCAAUAAGCGGAGGAAAAGAAACCAACCGGGAUUGCCUUAGUAACGGCGAGUGAAGCGGCAAAAGCUCAAAUUUGAAAUCUGGUACCUUCGGUGCCCGAGUUGUAAUUUGGAGAGGGCAACUUUGGGGCCGUUCCUUGUCUAUGUUCCUUGGAACAGGACGUCAUAGAGGGUGAGAAUCCCGUGUGGCGAGGAGUGCGGUUCUUUGUAAAGUGCCUUCGAAGAGUCGAGUUGUUUGGGAAUGCAGCUCUAAGUGGGUGGUAAAUUCCAUCUAAAGCUAAAUAUUGGCGAGAGACCGAUAGCGAACAAGUACAGUGAUGGAAAGAUGAAAAGAACUUUGAAAAGAGAGUGAAAAAGUACGUGAAAUUGUUGAAAGGGAAGGGCAUUUGAUCAGACAUGGUGUUUUGUGCCCUCUGCUCCUUGUGGGUAGGGGAAUCUCGCAUUUCACUGGGCCAGCAUCAGUUUUGGUGGCAGGAUAAAUCCAUAGGAAUGUAGCUUGCCUCGGUAAGUAUUAUAGCCUGUGGGAAUACUGCCAGCUGGGACUGAGGACUGCGACGUAAGUCAAGGAUGCUGGCAUAAUGGUUAUAUGCCGCCCGUCUUGAAACACGGACCAAGGAGUCUAACGUCUAUGCGAGUGUUUGGGUGUAAAACCCAUACGCGUAAUGAAAGUGAACGUAGGUUGGGGCCUCGCAAG
RNAcentral lists this ribosomal RNA (713 nucleotides) under Saccharomyces cerevisiae (brewer's yeast). RNAcentral's name for it is "eukaryotic LSU rRNA". It matches the Rfam family "Eukaryotic large subunit ribosomal RNA", at positions 22 to 750 of the family's 3401-position model. Lineage: Eukaryota; Fungi; Ascomycota; Saccharomycetes; Saccharomycetales; Saccharomycetaceae. The record is from RNAcentral.